Long non-coding RNA from Myodes glareolus (Bank vole), 1585 nucleotides. RefSeq lists it as uncharacterized. The record is from RefSeq and is a predicted model, not a curated record. Lineage: Eukaryota; Metazoa; Chordata; Mammalia; Rodentia; Cricetidae.
GUUGUUAUAAUAGUCUGUGAGUAGCACCAGUGAGCUGAGGUCACUGAACAAGUGACUGUGACCUUUUGGCAACUGUGUCUCCCUCUAGCCGGACUGUGCAAUGUUCCUGUUUGGACAAGGCUAGGCUCCACUCCAAAGUGCUCCUGUGUACUAAAGAGGAAGCCAAGGCUGGGGGUCAAGGUGUUUUCAAGUGUGCAGGCUGGUGGGAUAUGACUUAACUUCCUUUUCCCCAAGGCUGUAGUUAGGAGCUGCGGUAAUGCUCACCAAGAGCAUGCACUUCUCCCAUCUGGAACAGAAUUCCUUCACCUUUCCGUGUCUUCUUGAUCGCUCUCUGAGGGAGAAAGUCUGUCAGACAUUUCCCUACGUCUGUCUCCACAUCCGUGCAACUGUCCGGUCAAACCUUUGGAACGUAUCACCUUAAAAGACCUUCGCUUCCACUCACACAAGAGCCAAGAAUGCCAUCAGAGGCCGUCCAAGGCAAGGACUUCCCAGUUUUGAUGGGACUUCUGACCGAGCUUGUGAGCAAGGUGUCUGAAAGGUGCCUUCAUGUAUGACUUUGUUCUGCUACCAUAAAAACUUCAUGAAACCAUUUCCAGUUGAUCCAUGGUAUUUAGGAUGGCCUGAAUCUCUUUCUGGGCCAAGGUCACUUAUAUCUGGCUCCAGAAUAAGGUAUCUCUUAUUCCCUUGGAGCUGUGCCGUGCAUUACUGAUACACAACUAAGAUUCAUGCAGAAGACGCUGACGGCUGUGUGCAUUCUGGCGAACAGAAGCGACAGCAAAUGUGUGUGCCUUGUUACUUUCCCUGAUGCUCAAUCCACAGGGGACACUGAUGGCACACCAAAGAGAAGAAUCCUUCCAAGACCAGCCCGGUGAACCAACGAGUGUGUUAGGGUCUCUUACGGGAGCGUAGAUGACUCACGCAGCUGGAUUUCUGAAAUGUCCAGGCCAGUGUGGGCAACGACCCACAAUGCUGCACCACUGGAAACCAGUCAGCCUUGGGCCUCUCGUGUACCCUAUGUUCGUUCCCAAGACCAUAUACAGGUGGGGUAGAGGAACUGGGGCCUGGAGCUCUGGUCCGCGCCUUCUAGAGGGAGUAUUCACAGCCUCUUGCUGUUACCACAGAUCAGCUGUUACUGCCAGUCACUCGCGACUGGGGGUGAUGGUGUCCUGUGGGCCACCACACAGUACAGCCGCAGUUCUCUUGGCCUUUAUGGAUGGCAGCUUAGAGAUAUUGCCACUUGCUAAAAUGCAGAUAUCUUCCAACUGAGGAGGAGAGGAGAGACAGUUUUGAAGUUGGUUUUGAAUAUUUAUCAGCAGUCUCUGCCAUGGGCCUCCGUGACACCCUCCCUCCCUCUCUCUCCUCGCCUCGCCUUUCCUUAGGCCCUCUCCCAGUGACACAGAAUAAAAUAGCCAUUCAGACUUCACUUUAUUUUCUCUUUCUGCUUGUUCUCAUCAAAUGCCCCUUUCACGUGGAGCCCGAGGAAGCUCAUUCUAGAAUGUUCAGGGAAAGAAAAGUCUUGGGAAAUCCCUGUCGCAGAAUGUACCUCCCACAGCACAAUGGAAACAGGGGGCUUUUCUGAAGGAGU